This 372-nucleotide ribosomal RNA is filed under the name uncultured organism. RNAcentral's name for it is "bacterial SSU rRNA". It matches the Rfam family "Bacterial small subunit ribosomal RNA", at positions 526 to 896 of the family's 1533-position model. The record is from RNAcentral.
CAGAGACUGCAAGCGUUAUUCGGAUUCACUGGGCGUAAAGGGUGCGCAGGCGGCCAAGUGUGUGAGGCGUGAAAGCCUGGAGCUUAACUCCAGAAUUGCACCUCAAACUACAUGGCUAGAGCAUUGGAGAGGGUAGCAGAAUUCAUGGUGUAGCAGUGAAAUGCGUAGAUAUCAUGAGGAAUACCAGAGGCGAAGGCGGCUACCUGGACAAUUGCUGACGCUCAGGCACGAAAGCGUGGGGAGCAAAAGGGAUUAGAUACCCCUGUAGUCCACGCCCUAAACGGUGCACACUAGGUCUUGGCGGAUUCGACCCCACCAGGGCCCAAGCUAACGCGUUAAGUGUGCCGCCUGAGGACUACGGCCGCAUGGCUA